RNAcentral lists this long non-coding RNA (1156 nucleotides) under Rattus norvegicus (Norway rat). RNAcentral describes it as "long non-coding RNA NONRATT023092". The record is from RNAcentral. Lineage: Eukaryota; Metazoa; Chordata; Mammalia; Rodentia; Muridae.
GUAAUUGGAGAGCCAUUUGUGCUUGCAUGUGAAGGUCAUGGGGUGCCCCGGGAUGGGCAUUCUAUGUUCAGAGUGAGCUGAAGUUCAUAUCUGGACAUUUUAAAACUUCUGAGUUGUCAUAAACUGUCACAAGCAUGGUAUCUUGAUCAUUUAAUUUUUACAACCGAUACAGCAUUGUUGUGCUGCCCAUGUAAAAGCAGCCUCAGAGAAGAUGUCGGGUGAUAUAUCCAAAUCACAGAGCUAGCUAAGUGCUGAAGGAAGGUUGCAAUGGUUGAUGCAGUAUCACUUGUAGUACUAACUGUAUAGUUACAUGACAUACAGCAUGUAGUAUGGUACCUUAUAAACAGUGGUGCUAAAUUCUCUGAUUGUGAACCUUCUAAGGGUUAUUAUUUCCAUUUCAGGUGCAAAAGAAAGAUCCCAAAGAAUGGGCAGCUCAGUACCGAGAGGCAAUGGAAGCAGAUUUGAAGGCUGCGGCUGAGGCUGCUGCCGAAGCCAAGGCGAGGGCUGAGAUUAGAGCUCAGAUGGGCAUUGGGCUUGGCUCUGAGAAUGCUGCUGGGCCCUGCAACUGGGAUGAAGCUGAUAUUGGACCCUGGGCAAAGGCCCGGAUCCAGGCGGGAGCUGAAACUAAAGCCAAAGCCCAAGAAAGUAGUGGUGCCAGUGCUGGUACUGGUGCCGGUGCCAGUGCCAGUGCUGGUACCAGUGUCAGUACCAGUGGCACUGCUGGUUCUGGUGCUAAUGCUGGGGCCAGUGGGGGCUUCAGUACCAACCCCAGUCUGACUGCCAGUCUCACGUUUGGGCUCUUCGCUGGCCUUAGUGGAGCUGGGGCCAGUAACAGUAGCAGCUCUGGUGCCUGUGGUUUCUCCUACAAGUGAGAUACAGGUAUCUGUCAUGGGGGCAGUGAGGUGGCUGGGUCUUGGGGGGGAUGGGGAGCUGACUCCUGGAUUGAAGAUAAGCCUGGGGCAUGUGUAAAGAUGGUAACCUGUUUGCCAGAUAUCAACUGACUGAUUUUCCUUUAUUUGUGUUUCCAGAUUGCUAAUCACAGCGUCUUCUUCUCAAGCCAGGGUGCACUCUCAGACACUUAUUCAAUGCAGCACUCUAGGCAACCGCUAUCAAUCAAUUGAAGUCGACACUCUAUAUUAAAUCUAUUUGCCAUUUC